AUUGAACGCUGGCGGCAUGCCUUACACAUGCAAGUCGAACGGUAACGGGCCUUCGGGUGCCGACGAGUGGCGAACGGGUGAGUAAUACAUCGGAACGUGCCCGAUCGUGGGGGAUAACGAGGCGAAAGCUUUGCUAAUACCGCAUACGAUCUACGGAUGAAAUCAGGGGACCGCAAGGCCUUGCGCGGGCGGAUCGGCCGAGGGCCGAGUAGUUAGUUGGUGGGGUAAAAGCUUACCAAGCCGACGAUCUGUAGCUGUUCCGAGAGGAUGAUCAUCCACACUGGGACGGAGACACGGCCAAGACUCCUACGGGAGGGAGCAGUGGGGAAUUGUGGACAAUGGGCGCAAGCCUGAUCCAGCCAUGCCGAGUGCAGGACGAAGGCCUUCGGGUUGUAAACUGCUUUUGUACGGAACGAAAAGCCUUCUUUUAAUACAGGAGGGUCAUGACGGUACCGUAAGAAUAAGCACCGGCUAACUACGUG
RNAcentral lists this ribosomal RNA (482 nucleotides) under uncultured bacterium. Its description in RNAcentral is "partial 16S ribosomal RNA". It matches the Rfam family "Bacterial small subunit ribosomal RNA", at positions 30 to 507 of the family's 1533-position model. The record is from RNAcentral.